GAUGAACGCUGGCGGCGUGCCUAAUACAUGCAAGUCGAGCGAACGGACGAGAAGCUUGCUUUUCUGAUGUUAGCGGCGGACGGGUGAGUAACACGUGGAUAACCUACCUAUAAGACUGGGAUAACUUCGGGAAACCGGAGCUAAUACCGGAUAAUAUUUUGAACCGCAUGGUUCAAAAGUGAAAGACGGUCUUGCUGUCACUUAUAGAUGGAUCCGCGCUGCAUUAGCUAGUUGGUAAGGUAACGGCUUACCAAGGCAACGAUGCAUAGCCGACCUGAGAGGGUGAUCGGCCACACUGGAACGGAGACACGGUCCAGACUCCUACGGGAGGCAGCAGUAGGGAAUCUUCCGCGAUGGGCGAAAGCCUGACGGAGCAACGCCGCAUGAGUGAUGAAGGUCUUCGGAUCGUAAAACUCUGUUAUUAGGGAAGAACAUAUGUGUAAGUAACUGUGCACAUCUUGACGGUACCUAAUCAGAAAGCCACGGCUAACUACGUG
RNAcentral lists this ribosomal RNA (497 nucleotides) under uncultured bacterium. Its description in RNAcentral is "partial 16S ribosomal RNA". It matches the Rfam family "Bacterial small subunit ribosomal RNA", at positions 28 to 507 of the family's 1533-position model. The record is from RNAcentral.